Long non-coding RNA from Ailuropoda melanoleuca (giant panda), 924 nucleotides. RefSeq lists it as uncharacterized. Lineage: Eukaryota; Metazoa; Chordata; Mammalia; Carnivora; Ursidae. The transcript has 3 exons. The record is from RefSeq and is a predicted model, not a curated record.
UGCUGAUCCUCACGACAGAUCUGCGGACAGAAAUCACCCUCGCCGUUUUACGUAGCUCCCAGAGGUUAAGGUCACACAGACAAAGCUGGGAUUUGAACCGUGGCCCUUCACACUUCAAAGCCAGGGCUUGCCCCAUCAUUAGGAGCACAAUGACCUCGCCAAUGAUUCCUCCGAAUAAAGCUCCUGUGAUAAUGUAUCGUACUCCAAAGAUCUUUAAAAAGAACCCAAACAGGAGGGUGAUUCGAAUGUCUUCAGCAGAACAGAGCAAAAGCUACCACCUGGGGAGCAGCCUGAGAGGCCAACAUCAUAGCUUCAUUUUCUGCAGACCGAACUGGAGCUAACAGAGGUCCCAUUGUCAUUUGUCCCAAGUCACGCCGAGAGGAACUGGGUAAGACCAGAUUUCAUCCCAUGCCCAGGUGAGUGCCCCCCUCCCUGGCACUUCCAACCUGGCCGAAUGCCAGGCUGCAGCCAGAGAGGACCCGCACACAGAGAGAAGCUGGGGCAUGAGGGACAGACCCCUCCACCAAAGCCCCAGGACUCAGUGGGCACUGACAGUGUCUGCUCUACUGACCCAAUAUCUGAGGUAAGGAUAAAGAAAGUGGGCCAGAGGGAACAGAAUGUGCAAAGGUGCAGAGGCUGGAGGGAGCACAGGAGUCUGAGAAUUAGGAAGAGGUCAGAGUAGCUGACCUCGCUGUGUGUGCUGUGGGAUGGGGCUGAAAGCCAUGUGGGCCAGACAGAACUUUUACCAUGCCGAGAGCUCUGUGAAGCCUGGGAGGGCCCUCAGGAGGUGGAUGGCAUGUUGGGCUCACAUUUUAGGAAGGUCCAUCUGGCUGUGGUGUGGAGAACAAUUCAGAGCAGGCCAGAGUUACAAGACGAGACUGGGUAGAAGGUUCUCCUGGGGUUCGGGUGAGAGGUGAUGCUAGC